This 495-nucleotide ribosomal RNA is filed under the name uncultured bacterium. RNAcentral's name for it is "partial 16S ribosomal RNA". It matches the Rfam family "Bacterial small subunit ribosomal RNA", at positions 28 to 507 of the family's 1533-position model. The record is from RNAcentral.
GAUGAACGCUGGCGGCGUGCCUAAUACAUGCAAGUAGAACGCUGAAGGAGGAGCUUGCUCUUCUGGAUGAGUUGCGAACGGGUGAGUAACGCGUAGGUAACCUGCCUGGUAGCGGGGGAUAACUAUUGGAAACGAUAGCUAAUACCGCAUGACAACAGUUAUUGCAUGAUAACUGUUUAAAAGGGGCAACUGCUCCACUACCAGAUGGACCUGCGUUGUAUUAGCUAGUUGGUGAGGUAACGGCUCACCAAGGCGACGAUACAUAGCCGACCUGCGAGGGGGAUCGGCCACACUGGGACUGAGACACGGCCCAGACUCCUACGGGAGGCAGCAGUAGGGAAUCUUCGGCAAUGGACGGAAGUCUGACCGAGCAACGCCGCGUGAGUGAAGAAGGGUUUCGGAUCGUAAAGAUCUGUUGUAAGAGAAGAACGAGUGUGAGAGUGGAAAGUUCACACUGUGACGGUAGCUUAACAGAAAGGGACGGCUAACUACGUG